UGGGUAACCUGCCUCAAAGAGGGGAAUAGCCUCCCGAAAGGGGAGAUUAAUACCGCAUAAUAUGUUUAGGUCGCAUGACUUUAACAUCAAAGGAUUUUCUUUUAGAAAUUCCACUUUGAGAUGGACCCCGCGGCGCAUUAGCUAGUUGGUGAGGUAACGGCUCACCAAGGCAACGAUGCGUAGCCGACCUGAGAGGGUGAUCGGCCACAUUGGAACUGAGACACGGUCCAGACUCCGUAGGGAGG
This 245-nucleotide ribosomal RNA is filed under the name uncultured bacterium. RNAcentral describes it as "partial 16S ribosomal RNA". It matches the Rfam family "Bacterial small subunit ribosomal RNA", at positions 118 to 348 of the family's 1533-position model. The record is from RNAcentral.